AGAGUUUGAUCCUGGCUCAGAGCGAACGCUGGCGGCAGGCUUAACACAUGCAAGUCGAACGGACCCUUCGGGGUUAGUGGCGGACGGGUGAGUAACACGUGGGAACGUGCCCUUAGGUUCGGAACAACACAGGGAAACUUGUGCUAAUACCGGAUGUGCCCUUUUGGGGAAAGAUUUAUCGCCUUUGGAGCGGCCCGCGUCUGAUUAGCUUGUUGGUGAGGUAAAGGCUCACCAAGGCUACGAUCAGUAGCUGGUCUGAGAGGAUGGCCAGCCACACUGGGACUGAGACACGGCCCAGACUCCUACGGGAGGCAGCAGUGGGGAAUCUUGCGCAAUGGGCGAAAGCCUGACGCAGCCAUGCCGCGUGGAUGAUGAAGGUCUUAGGAUUGUAAAAUCCUUUCAGCGGGGACGAUAAUGACGGUACCCGCAGAAGAAGCCCCGGCUAACUUCGUGCCAGCAGCCGCGGUAAUACGAAGGGGGCUAGCGUUGCUCGGAUUUACUGGGCGUAAAGGGCGCGUAGGCGGACAGUUAAGUUGGGGGUGAAAGCCCGGGGCUCAACCUCGGAAUUGCCUUCAAUACUGGCUGUCUUGAGUGUGAGAGAGGUGUGUGGAACUCCGAGUGUAGAGGUGAAAUUCGUAGAUAUUCGGAAGAACACCAGUGGCGAAGGCGACACACUGGCUCACUACUGACGCUGAGGCGCGAAAGCGUGGGGAGCAAACAGGAUUAGAUACCCUAGUAGUCC
RNAcentral lists this ribosomal RNA (742 nucleotides) under uncultured bacterium. Its description in RNAcentral is "bacterial SSU rRNA". It matches the Rfam family "Bacterial small subunit ribosomal RNA", at positions 8 to 796 of the family's 1533-position model. The record is from RNAcentral.